UGCCUGGCCGGGGCGGCUGGCGGUUGCUGCCCCGGCGCCUCGCGCAACAAAUUCGCCUACAACGAGGCCGGGCAAGUGCGCAUCCGGGCCGGGCUGCCCAUCUACGAGUGCAACUCGCGGUGCCGCUGCGGGGCCGAGUGCCCCAACCGCGUGGUGCAGAAGGGCAUUCGCUACGACCUCUGCAUCUUCCGCACUGGCAAUGGCCGGGGCUGGGGCGUCCGCACCCUCGAGCGCAUCCGCAAGAACAGCUUUGUCAUGGAGUACGUGGGUGAGGUGAGCGCUGUGCCACCGCGGGGGUGGGGACACAUGGGGUGGCAUUGCUGCAGCUGCCCUGUGUCACUGUGCAGACGCAGGAGGACACUGCUGUGCGCCUAUAUUGCCAUGGUGUGAGCCCUGGGGACAUGGGAGGGGAUGUGGAGACACAGGAGGUCAUUGCUGUGUCCCUGUAUCACCCUGGUGUGAGCUAUGGGGACACAGAAGGGGAUGUGGGGACACAGGAGGGGAUAAUGGUGUGAGCCCUGGGGACAUGGGAGGGGAUGUGGAGACACAGGAGGUCAUUGCUGUGUCCCUGUAUCACCCUGGCGUGAGCCAUGGGGACACAGAAGGGGAUGUGGGGACACAGGAGGUCAUUGCUGUGUCCCUGUAUCACCCUGGCGUGAGCCAUGGGGACACAGAAGGGGAUGUGGGGACACAGGAGGUCAUUGCUGUGUCCCUGUAUCACCCUGGCGUGAGCCAUGGGGACACAGAAGGGGAUGUGGGGACACAGGAGGUCAUUGCUGUGUCCCUGUAUCACCCUGGCGUGAGCCAUGGGGACACAGAAGGGGAUGUGGGGACACAGGAGGUCAUUGCUGUGUCCCUGUAUCACCCUGGCGUGAGCCAUGGGGACACAGAAGGGGAUGUGGGGACACAGGAGGUCAUUGCUGUGUCCCUGUAUCACCCUGGCGUGAGCCAUGGGGACACAGAAGGGGAUGUGGGGACACAGGAGGGGAUGUGGGGACACAGGAGGUCAUUGCUGUGUCCCUGUAUCACCCUGGCGUGAGCCAUGGGGACACAGAAGGGGAUGUGGGGACACAGGAGGUCAUUGCUGUGUCCCUGUAUCACCCUGGCAUGAGCUCACCCCCGUGCGCCCCCCGGCCCCCAGAUCAUCACGUCGGAGGAGGCGGAGCGGCGGGGGCAGGUCUAUGACCGCCAGGGAGCCACCUACCUCUUCGACCUGGACUACGUGGAGGACGUCUACACUGUGGACGCUGCCCGCUAUGGCAACAUCUCCCACCUUGUCAA
RNAcentral lists this long non-coding RNA (1281 nucleotides) under Struthio camelus australis. Its description in RNAcentral is "lncRNA (ENSSCUG00000000566.1)". The record is from RNAcentral. Lineage: Eukaryota; Metazoa; Chordata; Aves; Struthioniformes; Struthionidae.